GCUUCUGAUGAUGAUGAAAGAUAUAACUUUCGUUCUUCUGAGAAUUUCAUGCGGAAACGUUAUGGAGACCUGAACUGAAGAAGC
Molecule: small nucleolar RNA, 84 nt
Organism: Beta vulgaris subsp. vulgaris (sugar beet)
Lineage: Eukaryota; Viridiplantae; Streptophyta; Magnoliopsida; Caryophyllales; Amaranthaceae
Rfam family: Small nucleolar RNA Z159/U59
About the family: This family consists of several snoRNA Z159 or U59 sequences which are members of the C/D class of snoRNA which contain the C (UGAUGA) and D (CUGA) box motifs.
Source: Rfam